AGGGUUUGAUCAUGGCUCAGAACGAACGCUGGCGGCAUGCCUAACACAUGCAAGUCGAGCGGUAACAGGUCUUCGGAUGCUGACGAGUGGCGCACGGGUGAGUAACGCGUGGAUAUCUGCCUAUUAGUGGGGGACAACUUGUGGAAACGCAAGCUAAUACCGCAUAAUCUCUACGGAGCAAAGCAGGGGACCCUUCGGGGCCUUGUGCUGAUAGAUGAGUCCGCGUCAGAUUAGCUAGUUGGUGGGGUAAGAGCCUACCAAGGCGAUGAUCUGUAGCUGGUUUGAGAGGAUGAUCAGUCACACUGGAACUGAGACACGGUCCAGACUCCUACGGGAGGCAGCAGUGGGGAAUUUUGCACAAUGGGCGCAAGCCUGAUGCAGCGAUGCCGCGUGUGGGAAGAAGGCCUUUGGGUUGUAAACCACUUUCAAUUGGGAAGAAGAGAUGAGAGUUAAUAACUCUCUGAUUUGACGGUACCUUUAGAAGAAGCACCGGCUAAUUUCGUGCCAGCAGCCGCGGUAAUACGAAAGGUGCAAGCGUUGUUCGGAUUUACUGGGCGUAAAGAGAUCGUAGGUGGUUUGUUAAGUUGGAUGUGAAAUCCCGGGGCUCAACCUCGGAACUGCAUCCAAAACUGACAGACUUGAGUUCGGGAGGGGUAAGCGGAAUUCCGUGUGUAGCAGUGAAAUGCGUAGAUAUACGGAGGAACACCUGAGGCGAAGGCGGCUUACUGGACCGAUACUGACACUGAGGAUCGAAAGCGUGGGUAGCAAACAGGAUUAGAUACCCUGAUAGUCCACGCCCUAAACGAUGUCAACUAGCCGUUGCGGGUAUCGACCCCUGCAGUGACGCAGCUAACGCGAUAAGUUGACCGCCUGGGGAGUACGGUCGCAAGAUUAAAACUCAAAGGAAUUGACGGGGGCCCGCACAA
RNAcentral lists this ribosomal RNA (926 nucleotides) under uncultured Zetaproteobacteria bacterium. Its description in RNAcentral is "bacterial SSU rRNA". It matches the Rfam family "Bacterial small subunit ribosomal RNA", at positions 8 to 928 of the family's 1533-position model. Lineage: Bacteria; Pseudomonadati; Pseudomonadota; Candidatius Mariprofundia. The record is from RNAcentral.